CAGGGAAUUUGUGUCUGGACUAAUGGGAUUAUGUGUCACACUAAGGGGAGGAGAUGUGUGGGAGGUAACUGGUACAUUAUUGGCUGGGGUACUAAUUGUUGUGGAUCCCUCCCUUGCAUGGGAGAAUGUCUUAAAAGGAGGUUGUGUGAAUAAAUCUUGAGAUUCUGCUUAACCCUCAAAACGAAGUGUCGUCUCGUUAUUGGGGGAAUUGGAUUGUAUGC
Non-coding RNA from Pelobates cultripes (western spadefoot toad), 221 nucleotides. The record is from the annotation of a GenBank genome assembly. NCBI's taxonomy places the organism in Eukaryota, Metazoa, Chordata, Amphibia, Anura, Pelobatidae.